AUGCCGGGUCACCGGAUCCGGGAUUGCCACAAGAGGAAAGCCGACGAGGCAGCCGCGGCAACGGCAAACCUCGUCCAGGCUGACGUGGACGGCGGGCCGGCAAUGAUGCUGGCAAGAGUCGAACCCGUGCAGGAGAGCUUGGCGUCUCUCACGACCACGGCCCCGACCACCACCCAUUCCCUGCAGGAGGCACGGAGCCCGUCCAUGGGAACCAUCACUCCAGUGAUAGGCCACACCUCGACAACAACGUUCUCGGGGCCUAUCGACUGGGAGGCGAUGAAGGCCCGGGUGUGGGGGAGCCACACCCCGGCGACGGCGUCCCCGACAACCUCGGGACCCGACAAGGUCGCGCAAGUUGGCGCGGCAAUGAUGCAUAUGGCGGUCCAUGCUCCGACCAUGAUGCUGGCGACCAUCGACUCCGUGCAGGAGCGCACGGAGACUCAGGUCAUCCACAACCCAACGCCGAAGUGUUCGAGGUCCACCGUGAUGAUGGGAGAUGGCUCCCCGACAACAGUGUGUGCGUGCAGCUACGUCUUCCUCAACGAGGAGAGAGACGUGACCACACCCAUGCUUGCAGGCGGCAAGCAAAGUGAGGGUUGGUUCCUCGACACUGGCACCACGAACCACAUGACUGGUUCGGUCGACGCGUUCGCGGAGCUGGACCGCUCAAUUACCGGGAAGGUGCGGUUCACGGACGGAUCCAUGGUGGAGAUCCACGGGCGCGGGACCGUCGUCUUCGCCGACAAAGGGGGUGACCGCGAACGUCUACUUCAUCCUGGCGCUCACGAGCAGCGUCGUGAGUGCCGGACAGUUCGACGAGGGGUGGUUCGACAUCGGCAUCCAGCGCGGUGUUCUCACCGUGCACGACUAGCAGAAGAGGCUGCUCAUCGAGGUAACCCGCCGCCGAACCGCCUCUACAAAUUCUUCUUUCAACCCGUACAUCCUGUGUGCCUUGCCGUGGGCCAUGUCACCGACGCGUGGCGUUGGCAUGCCCGGCUAGGACACCAGCACUUCGACGGGUUGUGA
This 1026-nucleotide ribosomal RNA is filed under the name Triticum aestivum (bread wheat). Its description in RNAcentral is "partial small subunit ribosomal RNA". Lineage: Eukaryota; Viridiplantae; Streptophyta; Magnoliopsida; Poales; Poaceae. The record is from RNAcentral.